This 439-nucleotide ribosomal RNA is filed under the name uncultured Tepidimicrobium sp. Its description in RNAcentral is "bacterial SSU rRNA". It matches the Rfam family "Bacterial small subunit ribosomal RNA", at positions 338 to 795 of the family's 1533-position model. Lineage: Bacteria; Bacillati; Bacillota; Tissierellia; Tissierellales; Tepidimicrobiaceae. The record is from RNAcentral.
CCUACGGGCGGCUGCAGUGGGGAAUAUUGCACAAUGGAGGGAACUCUGAUGCAGCGACGCCGCGUGAGCGAUGAAGGCUUUCGGGUCGUAAAGCUCUGUCCUAGGGGACGAUAAUGACGGUACCCUAGGAGGAAGCCCCGGCUAACUACGUGCCAGCAGCCGCGGUAAUACGUAGGGGGCGAGCGUUGUCCGGAAUUAUUGGGCGUAAAGGGUACGUAGGCGGCCAUGUAAGUCAGAUGUGAAAGACAUAGGCUUAACUUAUGUAAGCAUUUGAAACUGCGUGGCUUGAGUUAAGGAGAGGAAAGUGGAAUUCCUAGUGUAGCGGUGAAAUGCGUAGAUAUUAGGAAGAAUAUCAGUGGCGAAGGCGACUUUCUGGACUUAUACUGACGCUGAGGUACGAAAGCGUGGGGAGCAAACAGGCUUAGAUACCCGAGUAGUC